Molecule: transfer RNA, 95 nt
Filed under: Colletotrichum orbiculare MAFF 240422
Lineage: Eukaryota; Fungi; Ascomycota; Sordariomycetes; Glomerellales; Glomerellaceae
Description: tRNA-Ile for anticodon AAU
Source: RNAcentral
GGUCGGUUAGCUCAGUUGGUUAGAGCGUGGUACUAAUAUGCAACCUCGCAUGUUCAGUAAUGCCAAGGCCGGGAGUUCAAGCCUCCCACUGAUCA